GAACAUAUACAACAUCAGUACCUGUGUUCUGAUACAGGUUAAAACAGAAAGAUUCACUUCCACUGAUCUCUUUCUUAUCCCCCACAUAAAAAUAUUAACCUUCAAUAUCUCAUCUGAACCAUUAUAUUGAUCAGGGUAAGAAAUAAACAGAAGAUUCUUCUUUCACAAAUUUCAUUGAUUCUACUACUUUAGUAGAAUCAUAGAAUGCCUUUUGAGGCUUUUGAGCUUUUUCGCAUCAGGAGUAUUGCUAGUCCGUAGGCUGUCUUUGCAUGAAUUGGAAAACGGUAGCCGGUCCCCAAGGCAUUUUACUUCCAUAUGUCAGAAAAUUGUGAUAAUAUACUUACUUUGUUAAAAAGAAACACUACUAAAUCUGCAAGAAAAAAAUCGUCAUACUAAAUAUCAAAGCUAUGUUGUUUGUGAUGUGAAUUAUGUUUUUUAGACAUGGCACCCUUAUGCAGUGCUUACCUGUACAGCUCUUCCUCCCUCCGCCUUCACUGUCAGUCUUCUGCAUUUGCUAGCCAGCCCAAAUGCUCCUUAGACUCGUACUGAAAUUCUGUUAAACGGCUCUCACGAAAACCACUCAUGCUGUUCUUCCUGCCAAAUCCAAGUCUACCUUCUUGGAAUUAUUUGCCUUCUCUUAAUCCUGAUUCUCUUCCUCCCUUUCCUACCAGCAAUUCUUGUCCUGCACCUGUUUUCUGUGGACUCCAUUCUUAGACUUCAGUUCUGAGGAAUCUGGUCAGUCCUCCCUGAGAUAAAAUGGUCCUCAUAGCUAACAGGUUUAGCAUAGUGGAAGCUUCAGAUGCUGUCUUUUCCACAUGCCUUAACUUGUACCACUUAACUGUUUCCCACAGUGAAGAUUCCAGUCAAAUACUUGCCUUCCUGUAAAAACUUAGGGCACAGCCCUCCAGACUUAGUGACAUAAUCUGUGACUUGAGCCAUAUGUUGUUCCAUGUCAUCUGCAGAGGCCCAUGGCUUGUUCCUCUCUUGCGCAUGGUAGCUCACCCCCUACUCCCUUUAACUAUCCAAAACACUCGAUGUCUCCUGAGCCUUGUUUAAUAACAGGGCCUUUUUUCCCUCCAGACAAUCCCAUCAAGAACCACCUGAAGAACCUCCAUGAAGUAGACUCUAUACAGGAAACAAUUCCAUCUUCCAGAGUGAAUAUUCACUCAUUUGCUUUUCCAGCCAGGAGACUGGAAGAAGCCAGCAGGCAAUGUAGUCAUUUGGUAAUGUUCUUCCUACUGCCAAGAUGGAUUAAUGCUGGGAGACCUUACAACGGGUGAGUAAUCGGUAGUGCGUGCAGGCCCUCGGAGAUCCCUGAGGUGUGAUUAUUUUCAUGCGUACAUUUCUGUCGUCAUCCUCCAAAGGGUGCUUUGUCAUUUCCUUCACUCUUUCCUCACUGGACUCUCAA
This 1408-nucleotide long non-coding RNA is filed under the name Homo sapiens (human). RNAcentral describes it as "HSALNT0088709". The record is from RNAcentral. Lineage: Eukaryota; Metazoa; Chordata; Mammalia; Primates; Hominidae.